Molecule: ribosomal RNA, 408 nt
Filed under: uncultured bacterium
Lineage: Bacteria
Description: partial 16S ribosomal RNA
Rfam family: Bacterial small subunit ribosomal RNA
Source: RNAcentral
GACGAACGCUGGCGGCGUGCUUAACACAUGCAAGUCGAACGAAGUGGCGAACGGGUGAGUAACGCGUAAUCAACCUGCCCUUCAGAGGGGGACAACAGUUGGACACGACUGCUAAUACCGCAUACUGAAGGAGGGGAUUGCGUCUGAUUAGCUAGUUGGAGGGGUAACGGCCCACCAAGGCGAUGAUCAGUAGCCGGUCUGAGAGGAUGCACGACCACAUUGGGACUGAGAAACGGCCCCGACUCCUACGGGGUGCAGAAGGGGGGAAUCUUCCGCAAUGGACGAAAGUCUGACGGAGCAACGCCGCGUGAGUGAUGACGGCCUUCGGGUUGUAAAGCUCUGUUAAUCGGGACGCGGUACCGGAAUAGAAAGCCACGGCUAACUACGUGCCAGCAGCCGCGGUAAUUC